This 755-nucleotide long non-coding RNA is filed under the name Rattus norvegicus (Norway rat). RNAcentral describes it as "long non-coding RNA NONRATT015658". The record is from RNAcentral. Lineage: Eukaryota; Metazoa; Chordata; Mammalia; Rodentia; Muridae.
CUUCGCCUGGCCUCACUGGGCUCAGAAACCAACAAGAAAUAUAGCAAUGUUUCCAUCCUGCUUACUGAACAGAUUAAUUUAUAUCUUAAAAUGGAAAAAAAGCCAAAUAAGAAAGAACAGCUCACCCUGGUAAACAAUGUACUGAAGUUGUCCACCAAGUUGUUAAAGGUAAGCGGCCUCACCGCCCUCUCCAGGGUGAGUUCCAUAGUCCUUAGAGGAUGAAGGAAGUCAUGGCCAGAACUGUCAGAAGCUUCCAGGAACAAGGUAGGGAGAGUGGCUUCCAUUACCAUGUUGGGCUGCCUAGUCAGAAAGAGACCUUGUUUCUUCUGGAGGAGGCUGGAAGAUCACUGGCUUAUUCUUGAGGAUGUCCAGUUUAACCAAGGAAAAGCAGACCUCUGAUGGCCCAUGGACAGGGUUUUGUCUGGAUGUUAGUGCUUAGACCUGCUGAGGGGACCGUCAGCACAGCCAGGCUUCCUGACAUUUGUGUCAUGCCCACACAUCUCAGGUCAGGGAUGAUGCUGGAGGUACAGAUGUUCAAGCCUUACAUUCCCUGUACCCCAUGAUUGCCUCCUGUCAUUGGUGUCUUCAGGCCUGUUCCCAGCGGCACUGAUAUCCUAGUGCUACUGGGCCUGAGAAGCUGCUGCUUGUCUCACUCAUUGUAGUUGCUUAGGCUGGAGGUCCCUGAGGCUCUGGAAGUCUCCAGAAGGCUGCCUAUCAUGCCGAGCCCAAGGCCUUCAGCCUUUUUAUCUCUGGCU